GUCGGGGCUCGUCUGCAACAAAACCUCGAGCUCGUCGUUUUAUAUGGUGAUGCCGGCGUUGGGGUGCAAAGAUGAAGUGGAAGAACAUUGAUAGGUGCAUAUUUAUGCGACUUAGUUAGCUUGUUUUCUUGCAUUUUCAUAGUUAGUUUGCGUUUAGUAUAGUGAUUUAAGCUAUUUUCAUUUGUUUGUAGGUCUAAUUGGCAAAGUUGGCAAGAAAGUGUAUUUUGAAGCAUUUUAGAGCAAUUAUGGGCUGAAAUGGAUUGCAUGCAUGUGGAGCACAAUGAAUGGACGUUUUUGAAGAUCAAGUGAAGCUAGGAACGUGCUAAAGAGAUGGAGAAAUCAAUUCAAGACAUGGAAGAUGAAUAAUCAGCUGCAAGGGCACCUAAAACCCUUCUAAAAGGCCUAUCCUUCUCUUAUACAUGUGCCGCACCACCCUUUCUAGAAGCCCUAGAAAGGUGGCACCCCAAACCCUUC
RNAcentral lists this long non-coding RNA (474 nucleotides) under Malus domestica (apple). RNAcentral describes it as "long non-coding RNA (MDOM_LNC003883)". Lineage: Eukaryota; Viridiplantae; Streptophyta; Magnoliopsida; Rosales; Rosaceae. The record is from RNAcentral.